Molecule: long non-coding RNA, 213 nt
Filed under: Phoenix dactylifera (date palm)
Lineage: Eukaryota; Viridiplantae; Streptophyta; Magnoliopsida; Arecales; Arecaceae
Description: long non-coding RNA (PDAC_LNC015633)
Source: RNAcentral
CCACGGUCCACCGACCACCUGAGUCCUGAGGCACCGUCACCACCGUGGCACCAUCCUCCGGCUCCAACUUCCGGGAGGCAAGAACUUAAGGUUUGUUUGCCAAAUGCCAAAGGCCCCAAGUCCAUCGUCCACACUCUAGGGCCUUAGAGUUAGAGUUUAGACAUGUUAAAUAGCUUUGGGGAGACAUCAGACAUGUUAGCAUGAUUAUUUCUG